CGUCCACAGUAGACCAUUCUCACGUGCACAAAUGGCUAGUAGUUCGAAAUGUGAGGUGUUAGGUUGACAGAUCGCGGGAAUUGCGCUUUCUCUGCAGUCAGUUACCACACUGAAAAUCGACUUUCUCGAGAAACAAUUGACUCCAGAAAAGCUUUUCGUGAUGCAACUAUCAUACAAGACGGCAGAGGAUGUGUGAAGAAUAUUGGAAGGUGGAUCGGGGAAUGACAUGUCAAAGUACUCUCUAGCAACAUCUAGCGACUGCUGUGACAUUUCUUACCAGAUUUAUGACGUUUGUUUACCACUUUACAAUGCUGUAUUCACAUAACUCAAUCUUAGCCAGUUAUAGUCAUUACCAGUUGGAUAUAACAGUGUACGCUCUAGAUGUUGAAGAAAGACUCAAAGUAACAUGAUAAUGUUUUGUGCUUGUAUAUACGUAGUUCUAUUUGUGGUCAAUUUGAGCAUGGUAUAAGA
Corticium candelabrum is the source of this 471-nucleotide long non-coding RNA. RefSeq lists it as uncharacterized. NCBI's taxonomy places the organism in Eukaryota, Metazoa, Porifera, Homoscleromorpha, Homosclerophorida, Plakinidae. The transcript has 3 exons. The record is from RefSeq and is a predicted model, not a curated record.